GGCGGGGUAACGGCCCACCAAGGCGAAGAUCGGUAUCCGGCCUGAGAGGGCGCACGGACACACUGGAACUGAAACACGGUCCAGACUCCUACGGGAGGCAGCAGUGGGGAAUUUUGCGCAAUGGGGGAAACCCUGACGCAGCAACGCCGCGUGGAGGAUGAAGUCCCUUGGGACGUAAACUCCUUUCGACCAAGACGAUAAUGACGGUACUGGUGGAAGAAGCACCGGCUAACUCUGUGCCAGCAGCCGCGGUAAUACAGAGGGUGCAAGCGUUGUUC
This 278-nucleotide ribosomal RNA is filed under the name uncultured soil bacterium. RNAcentral describes it as "partial 16S ribosomal RNA". It matches the Rfam family "Bacterial small subunit ribosomal RNA", at positions 251 to 546 of the family's 1533-position model. The record is from RNAcentral.